This 69-nucleotide transfer RNA is filed under the name Paradoxurus hermaphroditus (Asian palm civet). RNAcentral's name for it is "tRNA-Phe". It matches the Rfam family "tRNA". Rfam says of the family: Transfer RNA (tRNA) molecules are approximately 80 nucleotides in length. Their secondary structure includes four short double-helical elements and three loops (D, anti-codon, and T loops). Further hydrogen bonds mediate the characteristic L-shaped molecular structure. tRNAs have two regions of fundamental functional importance: the anti-codon, which is responsible for specific mRNA codon recognition, and the 3' end, to which the tRNAs corresponding amino acid is attached (by aminoacyl-tRNA synthetases). tRNAs cope with the degeneracy of the genetic code in two manners: having more than one tRNA (with a specific anti-codon) for a particular amino acid; and 'wobble' base-pairing, i.e. permitting non-standard base-pairing at the 3rd anti-codon position. The record is from RNAcentral. Lineage: Eukaryota; Metazoa; Chordata; Mammalia; Carnivora; Viverridae.
GUUAAUGUAGCUUAACUACAAAAGCAAGGCACUGAAAAUGCCUAGAUGAGCCAUCCGGCUCCAUAAACA